AGCAGCCGCGGUAAUUCCAGCUCCAAUAGCGUAUAUUAAAGUUGUUGCAGUUAAAAAGCUCGUAGUUGAAUUUCGGGAUCGACAGGUUGGUCGCGCCUUCGGUGUGUACUGGUCUAGUCGGUUUCUCCCUUCUGACGAACCACGAUGUCAUUAAUUUGGUGUCGUGGGAAAUCAGGACUGUUACUUUGAAAAAAAUUAGAGUGUUUAAAGCAGGCAUUAGCUUGAAUACAUUAGCAUGGAAUAAUGAAAUAGGACGUUUGAUCCUAUUUUGUUGGUUUCUAGGAUCGACGUAAUGAUUAAUAGGGAUAGUUGGGGGCAUUAGUAUUCAAUUGUCAGAGGUGAAAUUCUUGGAUUUAUUGAAGACUAACUACUGCGAAAGCAUUUGCCAAGGAUGUUUUCAUUAAUCAAGAACGAAAGUUAAGGGGAUCGAAGACGAUCAGAUACCGUCGU
This 450-nucleotide ribosomal RNA is filed under the name uncultured Glomeromycotina. Its description in RNAcentral is "SSU rRNA". It matches the Rfam family "Eukaryotic small subunit ribosomal RNA", at positions 569 to 1021 of the family's 1831-position model. The record is from RNAcentral. Lineage: Eukaryota; Fungi; Glomeromycota.